This 497-nucleotide ribosomal RNA is filed under the name uncultured bacterium. RNAcentral describes it as "partial 16S ribosomal RNA". It matches the Rfam family "Bacterial small subunit ribosomal RNA", at positions 28 to 507 of the family's 1533-position model. The record is from RNAcentral.
GAUGAACGCUGGCGGCGUGCCUAAUACAUGCAAGUCGAGCGAACAGACGAGGAGCUUGCUCCUCUGACGUUAGCGGCGGACGGGUGAGUAACACGUGGAUAACCUACCUAUAAGACUGGGAUAACUUCGGGAAACCGGAGCUAAUACCGGAUAAUAUAUUGAACCGCAUGGUUCAAUAGUGAAAGACGGUUUUGCUGUCACUUAUAGAUGGAUCCGCGCCGCAUUAGCUAGUUGGUAAGGUAACGGCUUACCAAGGCAACGAUGCGUAGCCGACCUGAGAGGGUGAUCGGCCACACUGGAACUGAGACACGGUCCAGACUCCUACGGUAGGCAGCAGUAGGGAAUCUUCCGCAACGGGCGAAAUACUGACGGAGCAACGCAGCGUGAGUGAUGAAGGUCUUCGGAUCUAAAAGCUCUGUUAUUAGGGAAAAAAAAAUGUGUAAGUAACUAUGCACGUCUUGACGGUACCUAAACAGAAAGCCACGGCUAACUACGUG